CAACCCUCAUUCAUGUGAUGUUACAAUCGCAUGAAUGGAUUUGGACCGUGUCGUAAUUGACUCGUCCUGAAAUGCAUUAGCUUGCGCUUUUAGAGUGCUGGGCACCGGUGUGAUAAUUAUCUGCGCCAACGCCUUUAGCCUCUUCUGUUGUGCUGCUUAUAAUCGUCCUGACGGACAAUUACUUUAAAG
This 189-nucleotide unclassified non-coding RNA is filed under the name uncultured Exidiopsis. RNAcentral describes it as "sequence contains ITS2". Lineage: Eukaryota; Fungi; Basidiomycota; Agaricomycetes; Auriculariales; Exidiaceae. The record is from RNAcentral.